This 274-nucleotide ribosomal RNA is filed under the name uncultured bacterium. RNAcentral's name for it is "partial 16S ribosomal RNA". It matches the Rfam family "Bacterial small subunit ribosomal RNA", at positions 523 to 796 of the family's 1533-position model. The record is from RNAcentral.
AUACGGAGGGUGCAAGCGUUACUCGGAAUCACUGGGCGUAAAGGAUGCGUAGGCGGAUAAUCAAGUCAAAAGUGAAAUCCCACGGCUUAACCGUGGAACUGCUUUCGAAACUGGUUAUCUAGAGUAUGGAAGAGGCAGAUGGAAUUAGUGGUGUAGGGGUAAAAUCCGUAGAGAUCACUAGGAAUACCGAUUGCGAAGGCGAUCUGCUGGGACAUUAUUGACGCUGAGGCAUGAAAGCGUGGGGAGCAAACAGAAUUAGAAACCCCGGUAGUCC